ACUGUUUACUUGAUCUUGAUUUUCCUACUUGGAUAACUGUGGUUAUUCUAGAGCUAAUACACGCAAUAAAGCUCGGACCUUACGGGACGAGCGCAUUUAUUAGACCAAAACCAAUCGGGCCUCGGCCUGAACGGUGGUGACUCUGAAUAACUGAGCUGAUCGCAUGGUCUUUGUACCGGCGACGCAUCUUUCAAGUGUCUGCCUUAUCAACUUUCGAUGGUAGUUUAUGUGCCUACCAUGGUUGUUACGGGUAACGGAGAAUAAGGGUUCGACUCCGGAGAGGGAGCCUGAGAAACGGAUACCACAUCCAAGGAAGGCAGCAGGCGCGCAAAUUACCCACUCUCGGCACGAGGAGGUAGUGACGAAAAAUAACGAGGCGGUUCUCUAAGAGGCCCGCUAUCGGAAUGGGUACAAUUUAAA
This 420-nucleotide ribosomal RNA is filed under the name unidentified nematode Sourhope farm. RNAcentral's name for it is "SSU rRNA". It matches the Rfam family "Eukaryotic small subunit ribosomal RNA", at positions 112 to 529 of the family's 1831-position model. The record is from RNAcentral. Lineage: Eukaryota; Metazoa; Nematoda.